AAUAUACAAUAAUCAAACCCUUUCUUUUUCAGAGUUAUUUGAAUUAUUUAUAUUUCCCAUAGAAAUGUGAUUGUGUGAUGCCUUAAAAACGUGUAAAAGUAGGAAGAUUUCCUCUCUGAACAAGAGGUUUUCUGGGCACCGCUGAAAGCAGGUCUUUGGAGCCUAUUACCUAUCCCAGAUAUACUGGAAAGUAAUAUAACUAUACGCAAAUCCAAGCCCCACUCUUUGCCUGGAAAGAAAUGGUGA
RNAcentral lists this long non-coding RNA (246 nucleotides) under Lynx canadensis (Canada lynx). RNAcentral's name for it is "lncRNA (ENSLCNG00005011458.1)". Lineage: Eukaryota; Metazoa; Chordata; Mammalia; Carnivora; Felidae. The record is from RNAcentral.